CUCUCUCUACGCCAAAAAUCAUCAAUAUUGUCAGCCGUCGCUGGAGUUGGCCACCGGAAGGCCGGCAAACUACGACGGCACCACUCUCCCCUCUCGAUCAGUUCUCCCUUACCAUCUCCGCCUCUCCCUUGCUCCAUAUCGUGGCUGGCUUGCCGGAGUUGUGACCGGUGAGAUCCAGCUCGAAACCACCACUGCCGCCCUUCCCUUCCCCCUUUAUCUCACUUUCCUCAUCACCAAACAACUCUAGUGAUCCUCUUCUACCACCACCACUGCUAUCCUACGAUAAUGGCCAAAUUUGACUGGAUUUAUAUUCUUUUUGGCGUUGCUCCGAUGAGAUCCGUUAAAGCAACGCUACUUUCAUUGUUCCCUUGUCUUG
RNAcentral lists this long non-coding RNA (376 nucleotides) under Capsicum annuum. RNAcentral describes it as "long non-coding RNA (CANN_LNC020871)". The record is from RNAcentral. Lineage: Eukaryota; Viridiplantae; Streptophyta; Magnoliopsida; Solanales; Solanaceae.